GCCAGACUCCUACGGGAGGCAGCAGUGGGGGAUAUUGCACAAUGGGGGAAACCCUGAUGCAGCGACGCCGCGUGAGUGAAGACGGCCUUCGGGUUGUAAAGCUCUGUCAAUCGGGACGAAGAAGAUGACGGUACCGAUGAAGGAAGCUCCGGCUAACUACGUGCCAGCAGCCGCGGUAAUACGUAGGGGGCAAGCGUUAUCCGGAUUUACUGGGUGUAAAGGGGGCGCAGACGGCGAUGCAAGCCAGGAGUGAAAGCCCGGGGCCCAACCCCGGGACUGCUCUUGGAACUGCGUGGCUGGAGUGCAGGAGGGGCAGGCGGAAUUCCUGGUGUAGCGGUGAAAUGCGUAGAUAUCAGGAGGAACACCGGUGGCGAAGGCGGCCUGCUGGACUGCAACUGACGUUGAGGCCCGAAAGCGUGGGGAGCAAACAGGAUUAGAUACCCCUGUAC
This 449-nucleotide ribosomal RNA is filed under the name uncultured bacterium. Its description in RNAcentral is "bacterial SSU rRNA". It matches the Rfam family "Bacterial small subunit ribosomal RNA", at positions 330 to 793 of the family's 1533-position model. The record is from RNAcentral.